Molecule: transfer RNA, 83 nt
Filed under: Candidatus Berkelbacteria bacterium
Lineage: Bacteria; Candidatus Berkelbacteria
Description: tRNA-Leu
Rfam family: tRNA
About the family: Transfer RNA (tRNA) molecules are approximately 80 nucleotides in length. Their secondary structure includes four short double-helical elements and three loops (D, anti-codon, and T loops).
Source: RNAcentral
GCCGACGUGGCGGAACGGAAUACGCGCUGGCCUUAGAAGUCAGUGCCUGAAAAGGCUUGCAGGUUCAAAUCCUGCCGUCGGCA